AGUGAACGCUGGCGGUAGGCCUAACACAUGCAAGUCGAACGGCAGCACAGUAAGAGCUUGCUCUUACGGGUGGCGAGUGGCGGAUGGGUGAGGAAUACAUCGGAAUCUACUUUUUCGUGGGGGAUAACGUAGGGAAACUUACGCUAAUACCGCAUACGACCUACGGGUGAAAGCAGGGGAUCUUCGGACCUUGCGCGAUUGAAUGAGCCGAUGUCGGAUUAGCUGGUUGGCGGGGUAAAGGCCCACCAAGGCGACGAUCCGUAGCUGGUCUGAGAGGAUGAUCAGCCACACUGGAACUGAGACACGGUCCAGACUCCUACGGGAGGCAGCAGUGGGGAAUAUUGGACAAUGGGCGCAAGCCUGAUCCAGCCAUACCGCGUGGGUGAAGAAGGCCUUCGGGUUGUAAAGCCCUUUUGUUGGGAAAGAAAAGCAGCAGGUUAAUACCCCGCUGUUCUGACGGUACCCAAAGAAUAAGCACCGGCUAACUUCGUG
Molecule: ribosomal RNA, 492 nt
Filed under: uncultured bacterium
Lineage: Bacteria
Description: partial 16S ribosomal RNA
Rfam family: Bacterial small subunit ribosomal RNA
Source: RNAcentral